This is a long non-coding RNA of Vidua macroura (Pin-tailed whydah), 768 nucleotides long. RefSeq lists it as uncharacterized. The record is from RefSeq and is a predicted model, not a curated record. Lineage: Eukaryota; Metazoa; Chordata; Aves; Passeriformes; Viduidae. The transcript is spliced from 3 exons.
GGAAGUUUCACUUAUCUACAUAAAUGUUACUAAAAGCAAGCAUUGACAAGAAAUUCAGAAGGAAAGACAUGACAACACCCUUCUAAUUCAUUGGAACAGCAUUUAGAAAAUCAGCAAUCCUCCAUUUUUUGCUAGCAGCCCAUCAAAAGCCUAAUCAGCUUAUAGUUUUGGCAGCUGAGGAUUCAGAAUCCAUCCUUAUGGAGACCUGCAACACCACCAGAAUAUUCUCACCUGGAUAUUCUCCCCAGUUUCUAUGGCAGAAGACCAGGACCCAUGAACUCUUAGGACAACAGGAUGCCCUUCUCCAAUCUCACCUCAACAGGCAUUUACAGCAGUAACAAUUGUAUUUUAUAAAUGCUGAUGUGCUUGGCCAGGACAAGCACAGUUUAAAAAAAAAAAAAAAAAAGAAUUGGUAGCAUGAGACUCCACACAAGUAAAGUUAUCAAAACCUGGAUUUAUACUGAUCAAAGUCUUGCUCUCGCACCACGUUACAGAAAAGUAGUGCAACCAAGUUUUACAAAAUGAAACACUUAAUGUUUCAUAAGCCUGCAUUAGCACAUCACCAAAUUCCCACAAGUAUUGCAAUUGCUGAAAGCAAAGACCCAGAUUUUAAAUGUUUAAACUGCUAAAAGGCAUAGGAUGAACCAUAGCUCUCAGGGUUCACCAAAUUUACCACUUAAAAAAUGUUGCACAGUACUCUUUUUUGACAUUAUUAACUUUACCCUUUUAUUCCCAGGAAUAAUUUAAUUUGUUCUUCUCCUUCUACAA